RNAcentral lists this ribosomal RNA (255 nucleotides) under uncultured bacterium. RNAcentral's name for it is "partial 16S ribosomal RNA". The record is from RNAcentral.
CUGCUGCCUUCCGUAGGAGUCUGGGCCGUCUCUCAGUCCCAAUGUGGCCGUCCACCCUCUCAGGCCGGCUACUGAUCGUUGCUUUGGUGGGCCGUUACCCCGCCAACUGGCUAAUCAGACGCGGGCCCAUCCCAUACCACCGGAGUUUUUCACACUGCGCCAUGCGGCACUGUGCGCUUAUGCGGUAUUAGCAGCCGUUUCCGGCUGUUAUCCCCCUGUAUGGGGCAGGUUGCCCACGCGUUACUCACCCGUCCG